This 483-nucleotide ribosomal RNA is filed under the name uncultured bacterium. RNAcentral describes it as "bacterial SSU rRNA". It matches the Rfam family "Bacterial small subunit ribosomal RNA", at positions 30 to 507 of the family's 1533-position model. The record is from RNAcentral.
UUGAACGCUGGCGGCAUGCCUUACACAUGCAAGUCGAACGGCAGCACGGGAGCAAUCCUGGUGGCGAGUGGCGAACGGGUGAGUAAUAUAUCGGAACGUGCCCAGUCGUGGGGGAUAACGUAGCGAAAGCUACGCUAAUACCGCAUACGAUCUACGGAUGAAAGCGGGGGAUCGCAAGACCUCGCGCGAUUGGAGCGGCCGAUAUCAGAUUAGGUAGUUGGUGAGGUAAAGGCUCACCAAACCGACGAUCUGUAGCUGGUCUGAGAGGACGACCAGCCACACUGGGACUGAGACACGGCCCAGACUCCUACGGGAGGCAGCAGUGGGGAAUUUUGGACAAUGGGCGCAAGCCUGAUCCAGCAAUGCCGCGUGCAGGAUGAAGGCCUUCGGGUUGUAAACUGCUUUUGUACGGAACGAAACGGUGAGCUCUAAUACAGUUUGCUAAUGACGGUACCGUAAGAAUAAGCACCGGCUAACUACGUG